RNAcentral lists this ribosomal RNA (429 nucleotides) under Gemmatimonadota bacterium. Its description in RNAcentral is "Gemmatimonadetes bacterium partial 16S ribosomal RNA". It matches the Rfam family "Bacterial small subunit ribosomal RNA", at positions 355 to 776 of the family's 1533-position model. The record is from RNAcentral. Lineage: Bacteria; Pseudomonadati; Gemmatimonadota.
UAGGGAAUCUUCGGCAAUGGACGAAAGUCUGACCGAGCAACGCCGCGUGAGUGAAGAAGGUUUUCGGAUCGUAAAACUCUGUUGUUAGAGAAGAACAAGGACGUUAGUAACUGAACGUCCCCUGACGGUAUCUAACCAGAAAGCCACGGCUAACUACGUGCCAGCAGCCGCGGUAAUACGUAGGUGGCAAGCGUUGUCCGGAUUUAUUGGGCGUAAAGCGAGCGCAGGCGGUUUCUUAAGUCUGAUGUGAAAGCCCCCGGCUCAACCGGGGAGGGUCAUUGGUAACUGGGAUACUUGAGUGCAGAAUAGGAGAGUGGAAUUCCAUGUGUAGCGGUGAAAUGCGUAGAUAUAUGGAGGAACACCAGUGGCGAAGGCGGCUCUCUGGUCUGUAACUGACGCUGAGGCUCGAAAGCGUGGGGAGCAAACAGG